GCGGGCUUAGUUCAGCCGGAAGAAUCGCCGCCAUCCUGGCGGCAGCCGCAGGUUCGAUUCCUGCAGCCCGCUCCA
RNAcentral lists this transfer RNA (75 nucleotides) under Provencibacterium sp. RNAcentral's name for it is "tRNA-Gly". It matches the Rfam family "tRNA". From Rfam's summary of the family: Transfer RNA (tRNA) molecules are approximately 80 nucleotides in length. The record is from RNAcentral. Lineage: Bacteria; Bacillati; Bacillota; Clostridia; Eubacteriales; Oscillospiraceae.